This 157-nucleotide unclassified non-coding RNA is filed under the name uncultured Helicosporium. Its description in RNAcentral is "sequence contains ITS2". Lineage: Eukaryota; Fungi; Ascomycota; Dothideomycetes; Tubeufiales; Tubeufiaceae. The record is from RNAcentral.
CAAACCCUCAAGCUUCUGCUUGGUGUUGGGUCCUCGUCCCUUCACAGGACGUGCCCGAAACUCGUAGGCGGUGGCGCCCAGCUCCUCAGCGUAGUUAAACAUUCCGCUCUGGAUCAGUUGGGAGUUGCCCGCCGGACAACCACACUUUUUUCUUAUG